This is a long non-coding RNA of Ostrinia nubilalis (European corn borer), 1656 nucleotides long. RefSeq lists it as uncharacterized. NCBI's taxonomy places the organism in Eukaryota, Metazoa, Arthropoda, Insecta, Lepidoptera, Crambidae. The record is from RefSeq and is a predicted model, not a curated record. The transcript has 2 exons.
UUUAUUAACAAUAAAAUCCAUUUAUUUAUAACCAACGACUACCACCGUUCACUCAUACAUACACAUUGGAAGUUCUAAAACUAUAAAAUUAAAUACGGAAUCACGCACACAACGCAAUUGCUCACAUUUUAAUGGUCAUCGCUUCUCAACCUUUUUAGAGAGUGCCCGAAAACGGUGGACUUUUAAACUAAGGAAGGUCACUCACUGACUCACUCAUCACGAAAUCUCAGAAACUACAAGUGCUAGGAGUCUCAAAUUUUGCAUGGGGGUUCCUUUUAAAAAAAUAGGUGCUCAAUAAAACGGGAUUUUACGAAACUCCACCCCUAAGGGGGUAAAACGGGGGUUGGAAGUUUCUACGGCCGCUAGUAUAAUAUAAAUUGGUGAUAUGACCUAGUUUUGUUCGUAAAGGGGUGAAAUCUUACGAAAUCAAAACCGAGGGGUUUUCUAAAGAAAGGAACAUCUAUUGCAUGAAUAAUUUUGAGAGAAUGAAAGCUGGAUUUUACAAUUAAAUUCUAUACAUUAGACGAUUUUGGUGGAUCUUAUCCAUAAAGUAAUAUAGCUGAAUUUCCUCUAUUGACACUGACCUUAUUUACACUUGAUUACACAUCGCAGUUAGCAUUAUUUUUGCAAAAAGCUUCUAUAGUAUAAAUAUAGCAAAAUAGAUCAGUCAGUCAGUGUUUUGCUUGAAAUCUAGUCGUACAAAACUAAGUUUUCUCGUAUAAGUAUACCAUUUACAAAGUACGUUAAGAAAGAAUGUAGGUCUCUUAAUAUACUUUGCAAAAUUCAUUACUAUGUUUAUUUUUUGAAGUCGGUUAAAAAUUGCAUUGGCCUUAAGUUUGAGAAGCGAUGGCCUACAUUGAAACUAUUCGAAACACAAUAUAUGAGGGAGAAUUGAAAUCUAGUGAAGUUAAGGUGCCCACUCUCUUGAAGCAUUCGCGCGUAAUAAGGAAAUAAAUAUCCCUGUUUCCAAGUAAGCUUAUUAUAAUGUUGGGAAUGCCACAAUAGUCAAGCAGUGAAUGGGAAACGAACUAGCGGGACUAUUUCCACCUUUCGUUCCCACUGUUGCAACUCCUGUGUAGCCAGGAUCUACAGCUUGACCGCCAAUAACCCAACCAGUGAAGGCCAAGUUUGCCCUGUGGAUAGAACUAGAGACCCUUGAAACUAGAAUCGGCAGUCGAUGCCACCAUUGGACUUUUGCCGCCUAAAACUGUGUUAUGUUACACUCGAAUGCUAGCAAUGUGUGGUCACCUUAAUGUAGAGUAAGGAAGAAAAUUAUAGGGAGUAAAAAGAAUGUUAAGAAAAAGAAUAUAAUAGGUAGUAAGAAAUAAAUAUCCCUCUAUUUUACUGGCAUAAUUCAAUUUAAAAAUCUAUUUCGACAACACAUACAUAUUUACUACUUUUUAAAUGCAAAAAUAUACAGUAAAAAAGUUAACAACAAAAAAAUGUACGCUUUUUCGAGUCUCGUAAUGCAGUGAAAAAUAUUUCUUGAAUUUUUACAAGUUUUUCUUGAUAAAAUAUAGUUUUUUGAAAUGUUUUUAAUUCAUAAUUGAGCUAUUUUUUAUUUUUAAAGACGUGUGCGUCUUGUAUAAAUAAUGAACGAAUACAAUAUUUGCUUCUCACUCUUUUCCAAGUAAACGAGUGAGACGCAAAUAUGUA